GGGAAAAGUUUUAUCCCGUGACUUUUAAUACUUAUAUUUUUUGCUUUGAAAAUGGAUCUUGUGUUGUUCUAUCUGCUUGUAUCACUUUUUGGGUCACAGCUUUCCAAUGCAAAAGUAUAUUCUGAAGAUGAUUUCUACAUCACCAACUCUACUAAUACCUAUAAUACUAUUCCGACCGACUGCAACUUGUUUGGUAACAAUUUUGACGAGGAUUAUCCAGUACAGAAGCUGAUAAUUAACAUCACAGCGAAUGGCACUUACUGGAUUGGUGCCAAAAUAGGUUUCAAACGAAAUAUAAAUCCUGUAGGAGUUCAACCGGGAUGCAAUGCAAACUACAAUGACAGUUUAGAUGAAUGUAAUAGACUUUGCAAAGGUCAAAAAUAUUUUAGCUACAAUG
Molecule: long non-coding RNA, 397 nt
Organism: Mytilus californianus (California mussel)
Lineage: Eukaryota; Metazoa; Mollusca; Bivalvia; Mytilida; Mytilidae
Exons: 3
Source: RefSeq, a predicted model, not a curated record